CGCGGCCUAUCAGCUUGUUGGUGGGGUAACGGCCUACCAAGGCGACGACGGGUAGCUGGUCUGAGAGGACGACCAGCCACACUGGAACUGAGAUACGGUCCAGACUCCUACGGGAGGCAGCAGUGGGGAAUCUUGCACAAUGGGCGAAAGCCUGAUGCAGCGACGCCGCGUGGGGGAUGAAUGCCUUCGGGUUGUAAACCCCUUUCGGCAGGGAAGAAGCGCAAGUGACGGUACCUGCAGAAGAAGCUCCGGCUAACUACGUGCCAGCAGCCGCGGUAAGACGUAGGGAGCGAGCGUUGUCCGGAUUCAUUGGGCGUAAAGCGCGCGUAGGCGGUUUGGCAAGUCGGAUGUGAAAUCCCGAGGCUCAACCUCGGGACUGCAUCCGAUACUGCCCGACUAGAGGUAGGUAGGGGAGAUCGGAAUUCCUGGUGUAGCGGUGAAAUGCGCAGAUAUCAGGAGGAACACCGGUGGCGAAGGCGGAUCUCUGGGCCUUACCUGACGCUGAGGCGCGAAAGCUAGGGGAGCGAACAGGAUUAGAUACCCUGGUAGUCCUAGCCGUAAACGUUGGGUGCUAGGUGUGGGCGGAUAUCGACCCCGUCCGUGCCGAAGCUAACGCAUUAAGCACCCCGCCUGGGGAGUACGG
Molecule: ribosomal RNA, 643 nt
Filed under: uncultured Actinomycetes bacterium
Lineage: Bacteria; Bacillati; Actinomycetota; Actinomycetes
Description: bacterial SSU rRNA
Rfam family: Bacterial small subunit ribosomal RNA
Source: RNAcentral